UGUUUGGGUCCUUUUUCUGCUCCCCUCCGAGAGCGCACGCAGCGGUGGCAGGCAGAGAGUUUGAGGGACCCGAGGCUGGGGAAGAAGAAAGGGAUCCAGCCGAGAAGGCAGACUGAUGGCUGAAAGGAGCGGACACAGCAGGUGGAGAGUGAGGAGCAGAAGGAAGGGGGCCCGUGGGCACCUGGGGGCGCGGCACUUGCGGCCAGCCACCUGGCGCCAGAGCAGGUCACCGGCCCGGGCCACCGCCUCCCAGAGUGGUGGGGUUCUGAGAGCCGCCGGAGUCCCUGGAGUUGGUGCCGCCCGGGUGGCCCAGCACCUGCCAACCUGAACCGUUUGCCCAAAGCGCUGAAUAGCACAGGCUGCCGCUCUUAGAGUAGGGACAGCAGAAAAGGACUUCGCAUUUCCCCACAGUACCCUCCCUGUUGCUCUUCUGAGAAGCACUCCCGGUACCCCGUGGUGGGGCGCAGAAGCUCCGGGAGGGCAGCCCUGCCCCUCCCCCAGCCGCACGGCGCCGCAGCCCGCCUCUGGGGGCCGGUGCCGGGACACAGCUAUUCCUAGGGUCCAGAGAAGAAGCUCAGCUGUUUCUCCUUUCCAUUUAGGCCUUCUGGGUCCCCUAGCCCCCGUCUCCCUUUAGGUGGUCCUAGGCUUCCCCACAUGAAUGACUCCUGGACUGGGGGCGCUCCAAACCACGCCCCAAACCAGGGACUAAGCCGCGGGAGACCCCUUCUUGGCCCGGCUACCUCCUCUGAUUCUAGCCACGGAAGAGAUGGAGAGUGGGGGUAGGGUCCCUCUCCUACCACACCCCGAGGUCCAAGAGGCCGGCAAGGAGACUCGCACAGGCUGGGAUCAGACCCAACUCUGUAACAACUCCCGGACUCGGGGGCGCUCCCGCUUCCCUCCAGGUCCACCUCGGGCGGCGCUGGGGCUCCUGGCUCUCGGGGAUUGAAGGGUCUGGGAUCCCUAUGCGUCAAAGAAGAACCCAGGUGGAAGGCUCUGCACAGUACUUUGAGAGUUGGCAGAUGGGAAGACAUCCAACAAGAAAGGGUCACCUGCUCAGGACCAGCAACAACUCUCAUGUAGAAGCCAUGCCUGCCGGUCCUCCCUGGGCUUCUGUCCAGCAUUCCUUUGAAGACCCCAGCAGCUUUCUGACCCCAACUUCAAAGUUUCCACAAGAGGCCAGCCCCACCGAGUCUCCCUCCUCUGUCCCCUGGGAACUAUGGUACUUGGGCUCAAAAGCCACAUGCCCAGGGAGCUGGGCCUCAGGGCAGGGUCCAGGGGUGGGAGAGGAGGGUUUCCUUGUGGGGCCACCCACGCCCACAACCACUCUUUCCUGAGUGCCACUUGGAGCAGAGUCUGCAUCCCGACCAUCUUCUCUGAGAUGCUAGUGCCCAUCCCCAAGGCAGGUGCUCAGAGAGCACCGUGGGGUGCCACAUAGCCGUCCAGAGGAGGUCAGGCUGUUGAUAGGACAUCUCCCAGGAUGUCCUUCCCUGCCUAGCUCAGGUGUGGCCAGAGCCACAGGAAUUGCCUGGGCUUGGCUCACAUGUCCCCCUCUGAGCCAGUGAAAGCCUGACCCCAGCUGGAGUUGGAGACUGAUUCCUGGGCAUCUUCUCUUGGUUUUAGAAAAGCGUCUGUGAGAUGUCCAGCAGGGCUACAGGGCAGGGAGGAGGAGUGCUUGGGGAGCCCAUGCAGGCACCUGCAGGCCAAAGCACCCCGCCAGGGAGUAAGUGCGUUCUCUCUGCCUAAGCCACUGAGCUGGUCCAAAGGUUUUCAGAACCACUAGGCCCAUUAGCUGGCUGCACAGCUGGUUGGCAAGCCUCCAGUGGCCAGCCCCUGGGCCUGCCGGAACCUCAGAUUUUGUAGUAAAAACAGAAUCAUCUUAUUAAAUAAUAAAGCACAUCAUGGUUUUGGA
Non-coding RNA from Ictidomys tridecemlineatus (thirteen-lined ground squirrel), 1909 nucleotides. Lineage: Eukaryota; Metazoa; Chordata; Mammalia; Rodentia; Sciuridae. The record is from RefSeq and is a predicted model, not a curated record.